GACGAACGCUGGCGGCGUGCUUAACACAUGCAAGUCGAACGGAAAGGCCCUGCUUUUGUGGGGUGCUCGAGUGGCGAACGGGUGAGUAACACGUGAGUAACCUGCCCUUGACUUUGGGAUAACUUCAGGAAACUGGGGCUAAUACCGGAUAGGAGCUCCUGCUGCAUGGUGGGGGUUGGAAAGUUUCGGCGGUUGGGGAUGGACUCGCGGCUUAUCAGCUUGUUGGUGGGGUAGUGGCUUACCAAGGCUUUGACGGGUAGCCGGCCUGAGAGGGUGACCGGCCACAUUGGGACUGAGAUACGGCCCAGACUCCUACGGGAGGCAGCAGUGGGGAAUAUUGCACAAUGGGCGGAAGCCUGAUGCAGCAACGCCGCGUGCGGGAUGACGGCCUUCGGGUUGUAAACCGCUUUCGCCUGUGACGAAGCGUGAGUGACGGUAAUGGGUAAAGAAGCACCGGCUAACUACGUGCCAGCAGCCGCGGUGAUACGUAGGGUGCGAGCGUUGUCCGGAUUUAUUGGGCGUAAAGGGCUCGUAGGUGGUUGAUCGCGUCGGAAGUGUAAUCUUGGGGCUUAACCCUGAGCGUGCUUUCGAUACGGGUUGACUUGAGGAAGGUAGGGGAGAAUGGAAUUCCUGGUGGAGCGGUGGAAUGCGCAGAUAUCAGGAGGAACUCCAGUGGCGAAGGCGGUUCUCUGGGCCUUUCCUGACGCUGAGGAGCGAAAGCGUGGGGAGCGAACAGGCUUAGAUACCCUGGUAGUCCACGCUGUAAACGGUGGGUACUAGGUGUGGGGUCCAUUCCACGGGUUCCGUGCCGUAGCUAACGCUUUAAGUACCCCGCCUGGGGAGUACGGCCGCAAGGCUAAACCUCAAAGGAAUUGACGGGGCCCCGCACAAGCGGCGGAGCAUGCGGAUUAAUUCGAUGCAACGCGUAGAACCUUACCUGGGUUUGACAUGGAUCGGGAGUGCUCAGAGAUGGGUGUGCCUCUUUUGGGGUCGGUUCACAGGUGGUGCAUGGCUGUCGUCAGCUCGUGUCGUGAGAUGUUGGGUUAAGUCCCGCAACGAGCGCAACCCUUGUUCACUGUUGCCAGCACGUUAUGGUGGGGACUCAGUGGAGACCGCCGGGGUCAACUCGGAGGAAGGUGGGGAUGACGUCAAGUCAUCAUGCCCCUUAUGUCCAGGGCUUCACGCAUGCUACAAUGGCUGGUACAGAGAGUGGCGAGCCUGUGAGGGUGAGCGAAUCUCGGAAAGCCGGUCUCAGUUCGGAUUGGGGUCUGCAACUCGACCUCAUGAAGUCGGAGUCGCUAGUAAUCGCAGAUCAGCAACGCUGCGGUGAAUACGUUCCCGGGGCU
This 1346-nucleotide ribosomal RNA is filed under the name uncultured bacterium. Its description in RNAcentral is "partial 16S ribosomal RNA". It matches the Rfam family "Bacterial small subunit ribosomal RNA", at positions 28 to 1381 of the family's 1533-position model. The record is from RNAcentral.